ACGCUCGACACCUAAGGCAGCAGUCGGGAAUAUUGCGCAAUGGAGGAAACUCUGACGCAGUGACGCCGCGUAUAGGAAGAAGGUUUUCGGAUUGUAAACUAUUGUCGUUAGGGAAGAUACAAGACAGUACCUAAGGAGGAAGCACCGGCUAACUAUGUGGCAGCAGCCGCGGUAAUCUGAGCGGGCUGGCAAGGC
Molecule: ribosomal RNA, 195 nt
Filed under: uncultured bacterium
Lineage: Bacteria
Description: partial 16S ribosomal RNA
Rfam family: Bacterial small subunit ribosomal RNA
Source: RNAcentral